Molecule: ribosomal RNA, 253 nt
Filed under: uncultured bacterium
Lineage: Bacteria
Description: partial 16S ribosomal RNA
Rfam family: Bacterial small subunit ribosomal RNA
Source: RNAcentral
UACGUAGGGUGCGAGCGUUGUCCGGAAUUAUUGGGCGUAAAGAGCUUGUAGGCGGUUUGUCGCGUCUGCCGUGAAAAUCCGGGGCUCAACCCCGGACUUGCGGUGGGUACGGGCAGACUAGAGUGAUGUAGGGGAGACUGGAAUUCCUGGUGUAGCGGUGAAAUGCGCAGAUAUCAGGAGGAACACCGAUGGCGAAGGCAGGUCUCUGGGCAUUAACUGACGCUGAGGAGCGAAAGCAUGGGGAGCGAACAGG